Chelonoidis abingdonii (Abingdon island giant tortoise) is the source of this 3222-nucleotide non-coding RNA. The record is from RefSeq and is a predicted model, not a curated record. Lineage: Eukaryota; Metazoa; Chordata; Testudines; Testudinidae.
CAGGGUCAGGUGUUAAUUUGGGGAUGUCCACACACUUUCUUAUCCCAACCAAUGGCAUGAACAACUGCAUGACUCCAUGUGAGCCCUGGUGAGGAGGGUGGCAAUGAAGGAUUUCUAUCUCCAUUAUGAUGCCAUAUUUGGUGAAACCAAGAACUACAUGAUUUAUUGCAACCUGAGCUGGGUAGGGAAUGUCCCCUCCACUCCAGUGCAGGAAAUUUCCCUUUUCCUCCAAGGCAUUAUCCAGUCUGAAAUUCCCGAAGCAAUGGGAAUCCCAACUCACCCUGUGAGUAGAUGAUUCCACAGCCUCACGGACCCAAUCACCAGUAAAGGAAGUGCAGGAAAACUGUCCUAAUUGCAAGAGGGAAUUUCAGGGCAGGAGCAGAAUGUAAUCUCAUUGGGCUGUGAUUUGCCCAAGACAUUGGGAUGGAUAUUCCUGCUCUUGGGGAAAGUUCACAGAGGUCUUUCAUGGCUGGGAGGUGGUUCACAGAAAAAUUUCUUUCCUUCUUCACCAUGGAUGCCUCUAGGAGUUGUUUGCUUCACAGUUAGACAUGGAUUCUCAUGGUGGAAGAUUCACAAUUUUGUCCUUAUGGUCCCUUCUUAUUCCUCCAAUUUGUUGUUGGCAUAUUGGAAAUGCCUUCAUGGAUCUGCAGCCAUGACAGACACCCAAUUAAAAUCUGUACUCAAGGGAAAUGUGAGCUGGAGUGGAGCAGAUUCUGUAUCAGAUUCAGAAGCUGAUGAGUGCAUGCAAGCACAGGAAAGAAACCCCUUAACUCCAUUGCCCCACAGUGGGGCUUGGGCAUCCAUAUGAAGGUGGAAUCUCAACUCCUGCAGCAUCUACUUUACAAUGCUAAUCUCAAUAAUGUUUGAUAGAGCAGACAUCAGCCUCUAGGCUGCACUUCAAAGGCAGCAACUCCAAACGCCCCGCACAGCUGAAUGGAGACACUUCCAUUCAACUCAGUAGAUCCACACACCUGUGCACAUUUCGGAUUUGUUGGUGACUGUGCCACUCCAGGAAUCUGCAUGAGUUUCUUUCUUGCCCACCUUCCUUGAUGCUCCUGCAUGUUGCCUCAUGAAGACUACCCCUUCUUUGCUGUCGCUAACCCUCCUGAGGGACUGCGGUCACUCCAUGCAGGUGAGUCAGCCCUUUCCUAAUUUGUCUAUAUAUAUCUACUCAAUUUUCCCUUUUGAUCAGCCUGGCUACUGUCAGAUUAUGCUCUGGUUUCUUUGCAGCCCCGACCAAUCCACAAAGACCCUCAGUUGAACUCCUGCAGUCCAUAGACCUGGAGAAAUAAAUUGUGACAUUGAAGUGUAUUGCAUAUGACCACAGGCCCAAAGGAGUGACAACCAAGUGGCAAGGAAAACCAGACCUUGCAAGUGAGCGAAGGAUGGAGGAUGGUCCAUACAGAGCUAGCCACCACUUUGAAACAACUAUGGGCAAAUGGGAAGAGGCAAAUUACACUUGUGAGGAGGAGCAUAAAGAGAUAGAGCAAAAGGUGACCAAGAAGACCAUCAGCAAAGGUGAACUAUAGAAUGAUCUACUGUAGCAGCAAUAUUUAUUUUCCUGGCAAUUUGAUAAAGGCCUAAAUGUACCAGCUGGCUUAUUCAGAGCAUCAGGGAGAGAUGAUACAGGAACAGAUGGACCAAUCAUGGAUGGGAUGUUGGGGUGUUGCACUACAUAUCCACAUAGUCUUACACAUAUGGCAGCGAGGCUCGGAUACCAAACUAAACACACUAAUGGGUUCGUUCCAGCAUGGCAAUUUUUAUCUCUUCUGGAGUAGGAGAGGAUGGGGGUCAUUGGAUGGAUGGAUGGAGAGAAAGAGAGAGAUGAGCUGAGUGGGGGUAGAUGGCUAGAGAGAUGGACAGACAGACAGAUCAAUGAUUCUGGAGGGUUUCUGUCAGCACCCCCUGUGACUCUGUUUCUCCCUGAAGUCUGGAUGCUCCCCAGUGCUCCCACAGUGACACUUCACAUCCUGCCCCCCUGCCCAAGCCCAGGAGCAAGUGACACUGUCACCUUGCUCUGUUCCACCAGCGGCUACUACCCCCGGGGCCUGCAGCUGACCUGGCAUCAGGUGGGAAGGAGAGAGAGGGCACCCAGCUCAGACUCCUCCAGGGGAAAGAUGGAAGAUUCAGCUCCUUCAGCACCCUGACAAUGUCUCAGGCAGAGUGGGAUGAGCUGGGGGAGUACAGCUGCCAUGUGACCCACCCUUGGACUGGUAGCCCCCAGCUCAGUACUAUCAGCAAGUGUGCAGCCUGUGGGGGAGCAUCCCCCUGCCCAACCUGUAGCUCCUCAAGCCAUCUCUGCAAGCCUUGCUCACUCGAGAUGAAGCCCUCCUGACUUGCCUGGAAGUGGGCUGUGAGCUGGACAGGGAGCUGGACAGUGCCAUCUGGACUGCCAACGCCGUCGUGGGAGAAGCCAAAAAACACAACAACCAGACCCAAAGUCUCCUGAGCCACCUAGCCAUCCCCAGAGAAACCUGGGACUCUGGGAGCAGCAUCCUCUGUAGAGUGACUCAUCCCUGCUCGCUGUUCCAGGGCAUGGAGAAGACCAUCCAGAAGCUCAGGGGUGCCAGCAUAGCCAAGGCUCCUUCUGUAUCUCUCCUUCUCCCAUCGCCGGUGCGACCCAGCCCCAAUGCUGAGGUGUGGCUUCCCUGUGAGGUCUCUGGUUUCUUCCCAUCCGAAUUGCUCAUUGAAUGGAAAAGGGACAACCACAGCAUCGAGUCCUCUGGAUACAUUACUCUGCUCCCAGUGGCUGAAGAGAGGAAUUCCCAAAGCUGCCUGAAAAACCCAGUGUCUCAGUGGGAAAGUGGGGUAGUAUAUACCUGCAUGGUAGGGUGUUAUUUCUUGCCGUCUAUGCACUAUACCAGCAGGACUGUGUUAGGUGAGUCUAGAUGCCAGAAAGAAUUUCCUAGCAGUGGGAAGAGGUGGUGAGCUCUGUAAGUCUGUGGAACCAUUUUCCCUAAGGGAAAGGAGAACCCAUUUCUCGGGCUUUCUAAAACUAGGACUGGGUGGCCACCUGGGGAAAUCAACUAGAAGGAACAAUUCAGUAAUGACUUUUCAUCUCAGUCUGAUGAUACUGUGGAGGGAUAUGAGGGUGCAGUGCUGUGAGCUGGUGAUAUCUCAUCAUGAUAUGGUGAUGUCUAGCUUCACUCCCCUGCAUUGUGGUGUUGCUAUGUGACGUGGCUGUGUUGCGACAUGGUGGCUUUAUGGCACGGAGUAAUUGCA